This 104-nucleotide microRNA precursor is filed under the name Marmota monax (woodchuck). The record is from RNAcentral. Lineage: Eukaryota; Metazoa; Chordata; Mammalia; Rodentia; Sciuridae.
ACAUACAUCAUCUGAGAUCUCAUUAAAAUGCAAAUUCUGGUUAAGCAGAUCUGGGUUGGGGCCUGAAAUCUGUUAUUUUUAAUGAGCUCCCAACUAAUGUUAAU